GCAUUGGUGGUUCAGUGGUAGAAUUCUCGCCUUUCACGUGGGAGAUCAGGGUUCAAUUCCUGGCCAAUGCA
This is a non-coding RNA of Trichechus manatus latirostris (Florida manatee), 71 nucleotides long. Lineage: Eukaryota; Metazoa; Chordata; Mammalia; Sirenia; Trichechidae. The record is from the annotation of a RefSeq genome assembly.